CCUACGGGUGGCAGCAGUGAGGAAUAUUGGUCAAUGGACGAGAGUCUGAACCAGCCAAGUAGCGUGAAGGAUGACUGCCCUAUGGGUUGUAAACUUCUUUUAUAAAGGAAUAAAACGAGGCACGUGUGCCUUUUUGCAUGUACUUUAUGAUUAAGGAUCGGCUAACUCCGUGCCAGCAGCCGCGGUAAUACGGAGGAUCCGAGCGUUGUCCGGAUUUAUUGGGUUUAAAGGGAGCUGAGAUGGGAUUUUAAGUCAGUUGUGAAAGUUUGCGGCUCAACCGUAAAAUUGCAAUUGAUACUGGCAGUCUUGAGUACAGUUGAGGUAGGCGGAAUUCGUGGUGUAGCGGUGAAAUGCUUAGAUAUCACGAAGAACCCCGAUUGCGAAGGCAGCUUACUAAACUGUGACUGACAUUGAUGCUCGAAAGUGUGGGGAGCAAACAGGAUUAGAUACCCGUGUAGUC
Molecule: ribosomal RNA, 460 nt
Filed under: uncultured bacterium
Lineage: Bacteria
Description: partial 16S ribosomal RNA
Rfam family: Bacterial small subunit ribosomal RNA
Source: RNAcentral